Molecule: long non-coding RNA, 416 nt
Organism: Ictalurus furcatus (blue catfish)
Lineage: Eukaryota; Metazoa; Chordata; Actinopteri; Siluriformes; Ictaluridae
Exons: 3
Source: RefSeq, a predicted model, not a curated record
UUCUGUGCUAGGAAUAAAACACCAGUGUAACACAUUACUGCUGCGUAGACAGCUUGGCUAAAAUCCCCACACUUCCUAGCGGAGACAGAAGCAGAGGAGGAAGAAAGGGCAAGAGUACAUUAAUGAUUCCAUCUUUAAGGAAUAUGAAGCGUUUUGGAGGAUUCGUAGUUCUGUGGCUAUGGAUGGUCGAGGCCUUGGAAAAUUGUCCAGAUGCUUGCAAAUGUAUCCAGAAAAACAAUGUGGAGGGAACAGAGGUUAAGUGUUCUAAACGGGGACUUCGUCAUUUUCCAGUCCAAUUCCCACUGGACUCAUGGAUCUUAAAAAUGGGCGAAAACAUAAUCCAGGAACUUCCAGCAAACAUCCUAACAUCUCUCCCCAAACUUGAGAGUGUCAAUCUGGAACGCAAUUCAAUUAAA